CUGAGACUUUAUUACCAAAGGGAAGAGGAGAGGAGGCAUUUUCUAUUCAAGAAGCCCACAAAUAGGAAUUAACACAGGUGCAACAGGGGGAAUUCUUCAUUGAAAAGGGACAAAAAGUAGAAAUUCCUCUGGUACAAAAAGAGGGGGUUCAGAGAGAAUGGAUCUUGGGUUGGGAUACUGCUGGGGUCCCCUGAGGGAACUUACCCAUCUCUGGCCUUUGUGAGAAGAUAGGCACCCUAUUGAAGGAUAUGCCCCAUGUAAUUGAUUUAAAUGUGCCCUCCUGCCCCCCAAAAUGUAUCCAACUUCUAAUCCUUGGAACCUAUAAAUGUGACCUUUUGUGGAAAAAAGGGUUUGGGCAGACAUAAUUAAGUUAAGGUUAUCUCGAUGAGAUUAUUCUGGAUUAGAUUGGGCUCUAAAUCCAAUGGCAAAUAAUUAGAAGAGAAGGGGAAACAGAUGCAGAGACACAGAGAGAAGUCCACGUGAGGACAGAUGCAGAGAGUGGGGUUACACAGCCCCAAGCCAAGGAAUGCCAAGGGUUGCAAGCAACCAGAAGGCCAAUGCCUGAUGUUACUGUAUAUGACCAGUAUGCCGCUCACUGUGUGAGUUUGCGAACACCCAAACUGUGUACAGUAGGCCCCCUUUGUCUCAGUUUUCCUUUCUGCAAUUUCAGUUACCUAUGGUCACUUGCAGUUCAAAAAUAUUAAAUGGAAAUUUCCAGAAAUAAGCAACUCGUAAGUUUUAAAUUGUGUGCCACUCUAAGUAGAGUGAUGAAAUCUACUUCCAACUCCAUCCGGCCUGGGAUGUGAAUUAUCUUUUUAUCAAGCGUCUCUGCACAAUAUACACUGUCCACCCUGUCAGUCACUUAGCAGCCAGCUUGGUGAUCAGAUCGAUUGUAGUGGCAUUGCAGUGUUUGUGUUCAUGUAUUUUACUUAAUAAUGGCCCCAAAGUCCAAGAGUAGUAAUGCUGGCAUAUUAUAAUUGUUCUAUUUUAUUAUUAGUUACUAGUUAUUGCUGUUAAAUCUUUUACUGUGCCUAAUUUGUAAAUUAAACUUUACAAACUU
Molecule: long non-coding RNA, 1060 nt
Filed under: Homo sapiens (human)
Lineage: Eukaryota; Metazoa; Chordata; Mammalia; Primates; Hominidae
Description: HSALNT0366950
Source: RNAcentral